RNAcentral lists this ribosomal RNA (252 nucleotides) under uncultured bacterium. RNAcentral describes it as "partial 16S ribosomal RNA". It matches the Rfam family "Bacterial small subunit ribosomal RNA", at positions 525 to 776 of the family's 1533-position model. The record is from RNAcentral.
ACGGAGGAUGCAAGCGUUAUCCGGAUUCAUUGGGUUUAAAGGGUGCGCAGGCGGGUUUGUAAGUCAGUGGUGAAAUACUGCCGCUUAACGGUAGAACUGCCAUUGAUACUGCGAAUCUUGAGUAUGGUUGAGGUAGGCGGAAUGUGUAGUGUAGCGGUGAAAUGCAUAGAUAUUACACAGAACUCCGAUUGCGAAGGCAGCUUACUAAGCCAUAACUGACGCUGAGGCACGAAAGCGUGGGGAGCGAACAGG